AUGGAUUGUGGUUUAACUGACUUGGGCUUCUCGGGCCCCAAAUUGACAUGGUGCAACAAGCAGGAGUCGAACUGCCAUGUCAAAUGCCGUCUUGACCGGGCUGUGGCAAAUGGAGCUUUCACCAGUUUGUUUGAUCUUUGUGGGGUGGAGAAUUUAAUAGCCACUACCUCUGAUCACUACCCCAUACUUAUUUCCCUGGGCUUUAAUUAUCUUCAGAGCCUCCCUACUCCAGUCCAACAGGGUUUCAAGUUCGAAGCUAUGUGGCUGCGCGCGGAGGAUUACAAAGAAACUUUCGAACGGGCAUGGUCGGAUGGUAGGGAUGGCAGCCCUUCCCUUCAGUCUACAUGGUCUAACUUAAAGCAUGUAGCUGGUUCUCUGCGGACUUGGAGCAGGGAGGCUUUUGGUAAUAUCCGGCGGAAGAUUGGGAAGUUGGAUCGUCGCCUUGCUUCUAUUAGGGCCUCGUCCCCUUCCCCUUCUUCGCUUUCGGAGGAGCGGUCUAUCGAGAGCCAACUUUGUGAGCUUUUCGAGCGGGAGGAGAUAAUGGAGAGGCAGCGUUCCCGCAUCGACUGGCUUAAGGCGGGAGACUGA
RNAcentral lists this ribosomal RNA (588 nucleotides) under Triticum aestivum (bread wheat). RNAcentral describes it as "partial small subunit ribosomal RNA". The record is from RNAcentral. Lineage: Eukaryota; Viridiplantae; Streptophyta; Magnoliopsida; Poales; Poaceae.